RNAcentral lists this ribosomal RNA (468 nucleotides) under uncultured bacterium. Its description in RNAcentral is "partial 16S ribosomal RNA". It matches the Rfam family "Bacterial small subunit ribosomal RNA", at positions 28 to 507 of the family's 1533-position model. The record is from RNAcentral.
GACGAACGCUGGCGGCGUGCUUAACACAUGCAAGUCGAACGGAAAGACCCUGCUUUUGUGGGGUGCUCGAGUGGCGAACGGGUGAGUAACACGUGAGUAACCUGCCCUUGACUUUGGGAUAACUUCAGGAAACUGGGGCUAAUACCGGAUAGGAGCUCCUGCUGCAUGGUGGGGGUUGGAAGGUUUCGGCGGUUGGGGAUGGACUCGCGGCUUAUCAGCUUGUUGGUGGGGUAGUGGCUUACCAAGGCUUUGACGGGUAGCCGGCCUGAGAGGGUGACCGGCCACAUUGGGACUGAGAUACGGCCCAGACUCCUACGGGAGGCAGCAGUGGGGAAUAUUGCACAAUGGGCGGAAGCCUGAUGCAGCAACGCCGCGUGCGGGAUGACGGCCUUCGGGUUGUAAACCGCUUUCGCCUGUGACGAAGCGUGAGUGACGGUAAUGGGUAAAGAAGCACCGGCUAACUACGUG